This 161-nucleotide ribosomal RNA is filed under the name Meliola clerodendri-infortunati. RNAcentral describes it as "5.8S ribosomal RNA". It matches the Rfam family "5.8S ribosomal RNA". Rfam says of the family: 5.8S ribosomal RNA (5.8S rRNA) is a component of the large subunit of the eukaryotic ribosome. It is transcribed by RNA polymerase I as part of the 45S precursor that also contains 18S and 28S rRNA. The record is from RNAcentral. Lineage: Eukaryota; Fungi; Ascomycota; Sordariomycetes; Meliolales; Meliolaceae.
AAACUUUCAACAACGGAUCUCUUGGCUCCGGCAACGAUGAAGAACGCAGCGAAUUGCGAUAAGUAAUGCGAAUCGCAGAACCCAGUGAGUCAUCGAAUUUUUGAACGCACAUUGCGCCUGCCAGCUCGUUCUGGCAGGCAUGCCUGUCCGAGCGUCGUCUU